CCCUUAGAUGUUCUGGGCCGCACACGCGCUACACUGAAGGAGGCAGCGUGUACUCCUGGAUCGAAAGAUUUGGGUAACCCGCGAAUCUCCUUCGUGUUAGGGAUUGAGGUUUGCAAUUAUCCUUCAUGAACGAGGAAUUCCCAGUAAGUGCAAGUCAUAAGCUUGCGCUGACUACGUCCCUGCCCUUUGUACACACCGCCCGUCGCUACUACCGAUUGAAUGAUUUAGUGAGGACUUCGGACUGGGACCGAUGCGGCUUUCGGGCUGCGUCGGUAUUCUGGAAAGAUGUCCAAACUGUAUCAUUUAGAGGAAGUAAAANUCGUAACA
Molecule: ribosomal RNA, 327 nt
Filed under: uncultured eukaryote
Lineage: Eukaryota
Description: partial 18S ribosomal RNA
Rfam family: Eukaryotic small subunit ribosomal RNA
Source: RNAcentral